AUUUUGCGACCUGAACUCAGACGUGAGCACCCGCUGAACUUAAGCAUAUCAUUUAGCGGAGGA
RNAcentral lists this ribosomal RNA (63 nucleotides) under Scutellonema bradys. Its description in RNAcentral is "partial 26S ribosomal RNA". Lineage: Eukaryota; Metazoa; Nematoda; Chromadorea; Rhabditida; Hoplolaimidae. The record is from RNAcentral.